Molecule: long non-coding RNA, 391 nt
Filed under: Mytilus galloprovincialis (Mediterranean mussel)
Lineage: Eukaryota; Metazoa; Mollusca; Bivalvia; Mytilida; Mytilidae
Source: RNAcentral
UUGUAAUAAAACUGCUUUCUUUGUAGAUCAUUGUAAAACUAAAAUAACUAGACGAACACAGGCAAGUAUUUUAAGAAGAAAACGAAGGGCGAAAAAGAGAACAGAAAGACCUCUUAAAGAGAAUAUAAAUCAAAUAAAUAAAAUGUGUUAUCUCAUAAAAAUGUGUUAUCUCAUAAAAAUGUGUAAUCUCAUAAAAAUGUGUAAUCUCAUAAAAAGUAUAAAAAAACAAAUAUUUACCACCAACUUAAAUUCGUAGACUAGAUUAGAUACAAAAAUAGAAAUUGUAAAGAAGUGGUAUUAUUGAUUAUAUUAUUCAGGAGAUCAAUCAAUGAAAUGUAAACUGAUGCCCACUAUAGAUUUGGUUGUUAUAUGAUUAUAACUGCAUGCACGG